UCGAGAGUUUGAUCCUGGCUCAGAGCGAACGCUGGCGGCAGGCUUAACACAUGCAAGUCGAGCGGGCAUCUUCGGAUGUCAGCGGCAGACGGGUGAGUAACACGUGGGAACGUACCCUUCGGUUCGGAAUAACGCGGGGAAACUAGCGCUAAUACCGGAUACGCCCUUUUGGGGAAAGGUUUACUGCCGAAGGAUCGGCCCGCGUCUGAUUAGCUAGUUGGUGGGGUAACGGCCUACCAAGGCGACGAUCAGUAGCUGGUCUGAGAGGAUGAUCAGCCACACUGGGACUGAGACACGGCCCAGACUCCUACGGGGAGGCAGCAGUGGGGAAUAUUGGACAAUGGGGGUAAACCCUGAUCCAGCAAUGCCGCGUG
RNAcentral lists this ribosomal RNA (374 nucleotides) under uncultured Methylobacterium sp. Its description in RNAcentral is "bacterial SSU rRNA". It matches the Rfam family "Bacterial small subunit ribosomal RNA", at positions 1 to 403 of the family's 1533-position model. Lineage: Bacteria; Pseudomonadati; Pseudomonadota; Alphaproteobacteria; Hyphomicrobiales; Methylobacteriaceae. The record is from RNAcentral.